GAACAUAGCUGCUCUUAUUUCUAUGACACUCUCCCAUUCCAUAUAUACUAAACACAACUAGCUACUAGCUGGUAACGCCUAGUUAGCUUGUCGUGGCGGCUUGUGGGGUGGUUCAUCAUGUGGAGGCUCAACGGGCGGUUGGUCAGGAGGCUGGUGGGGUGGUUCAUCAUGUGGAGGCUCAACGGGCGGUUGGUCAGGAGGCUGGUGGGGUGGUUCAUCAUGUGGAGGCCCAACGGGCGGUUGGUCAGGCGGCUGGUGGGGUGGUUCAUCAUGUGGAGGCCCAACGGGCGGUUGGUCAGGCGGCUGGUGGGGUGGUUCAUCAUGUGGAGGCUCAACGGGCGGUUGGUCAGGAGGCUGGUGGGGUGGUUCAUCAUGUGGAGGCCCAACGGGCGGUUGGUCAGGCGGCUGGUGGGGUGGUUCAUCAUGUGGAGGCCCAACGGGCGGUUGGUCAGGCGGCUGGUGGGGUGGUUCAUCAUGUGGAGGCCCAACGGGCGGUUGGUCAGGCGGCCCAAGUGGAGGCUCAUGAGGU
This 529-nucleotide long non-coding RNA is filed under the name Theobroma cacao (cacao). RNAcentral describes it as "long non-coding RNA (TCAC_LNC002753)". The record is from RNAcentral. Lineage: Eukaryota; Viridiplantae; Streptophyta; Magnoliopsida; Malvales; Malvaceae.